This 63-nucleotide transfer RNA is filed under the name Balta curvirostris. RNAcentral's name for it is "tRNA-Thr". The record is from RNAcentral. Lineage: Eukaryota; Metazoa; Arthropoda; Insecta; Blattodea; Pseudophyllodromiidae.
GUUUUAGUAAUUUAAAAAAAAUAUUGACCUUGUAAGUCAAAAUUAAGUACUCCUUCUAAAGCU